Molecule: long non-coding RNA, 3573 nt
Organism: Scophthalmus maximus (turbot)
Lineage: Eukaryota; Metazoa; Chordata; Actinopteri; Pleuronectiformes; Scophthalmidae
Exons: 11
Source: RefSeq, a predicted model, not a curated record
CGUUGUAACUUGUAUUCUACGUUUCUAUUGGUCAGCAAUGCGGCAACUUCAAGUUCUGGCCAGGGGGGGCGGGACAACUGAGUGCGGCGACGCAGGUGUGUGUGAGAGCGCAUCGUGAUAGGAAACCUGCUGUAACUUUCCGCGGCAUAUAAGGUGAUAUCCACUGUUAAUGUUCGUCACACACAAGUAUUGUGAACCUAACAAAGCAGUGAGAUACAGCCUGUAACUUUUUGAUUAAUUACCAAAGCAAGUCUAUGUCUUGGCUAAACUACUAGCAGCUGCUAGCCAGCCCGCUAAGUUAGUUAGCCCGCUAAGCUAGUUAGCUCGCUCAGUUAGUUAGCCCGCUAAGUUAGUUAGCCCGCUAAGUUAGUUUGCCCGCUAAGCUAGCCAGCCCACUAAGCUAGUUAGCUCGCUCAGUAGCCAGCCCGCUAAGUUAGUUUGCCCGCUAAGCUAGUUAGCUCGCUAAGUUAGUUAGCAAGCUAAACUAGCCAUCCCGCUAAGCUAGUUAGUCCGCUAAGCGAGCUAGCACGCUAAGCUAGCUAGCGCCUCUGUUGAGCGCAUCAGCCCGACGACGAAGACGACCGAGAGGGAAACCAGACAGCGCCGCUGGGUGACCAGGUGAAACGCACCUCUGGCGACGAGGGAGGGUGGUUUCCUAAAUCCUGAAAUUACGGUGGCCGAGAAGUGUCAACACGAAUGCAAAAGCCAUAAUAAGAGGAUGUCCUGAAAGUUUGAAGAAGAUAAAAGACUGAGGACUUUGAGAAGUAGGGAAAGGCUGUCAUACUUCCUCUUUUCAUCCAAGAAACUGGACAAACUUGCACUAAAUAAGGACUGUGAGAAGCUAAGGUCAACAAACGGGACGAUGCAGCUGCUUUGUCAACAAAACCUGCUGAACACAAAGGGAAUCUCCAGCCUGUUCUUCAUAUCAAGCUAUUUGUUUAUUUUAGCAGAAAAACUACUGAUUAAAUAUGACUUUGUUGCGUCAUUAAUACAAACACACAUUCAACCCAUAACUCAGGAAACUAUUUAAUUUACUAAAUCAAACUCAGGGGAGAAAAAAGCACGACUUCUGAAUUAUUGUUUUAACACAACACAUCAACCAUGACAAUGUAAUAUUUUGCAGGUGAAAUCAUAUGUUUUAACAUUUCAAACAAACAACAAAGUGAUAUUAUGAAUCAAGGUUUGUAUUUACUCCAUGCAGGACAUGAUCUCACAGUCCAGGCUGCGAUUUGUGAAAAAAGCGGGGGUUGACUCUUAUCAUGUGUCACGGGACGCUUCAGACUCCACAUGGGAGACGGGCACUCUACCAAGGGAGCUAAAAGUGAUCAAGGCCGAUGGAACCAGGAUCAAAAGCUUGCAGGCUUGGACCGCUGGAGCACUCUGCGGACGAAGGCCAGCGCUCCACCCAGGUGUCCUUCCCCAACAUGUAGACGUAUCUGAUACACAAAACAAAAACAGAGAAGAUUUGGUCAUCUUCAGGAUUCCUUUUUCUCCUGACCAGGAAAAAUAAAAUGAAAGACCCUUUUUUGACUUGGUUUUGUCUUACAACACCUGGAUAUCGGCAUCGAUGAAAAGAGCAAAACACUCACCGACUCCAAACCACAAAAUGAUUCCAAAUGGUGGUGCCAAAACAGACUGUACAUUGUAAUGGUGACAGAAAAACACUCAUAUGACCCUUGAUGACACCAUUUUAUUCUCUUGGCCACCAUGACGCGAUUGUUUGCAGGAAAAUUCUUCUUCAGCAGCUCUGAGGAAAAUGACCUACGUCAUUAUGACAGCGACCAAACAGUAAUACCACUUGGAACCACAACGUUGUCUCUUGCCCCUUUAAAUUGAAAACUCAGUCAAGAAUUCCCUCUUUUUUUUCUAAAUUUUUUUGGGAAAAAAAAAUGUGAAAUAACUUUUGAUGCAGCCCAAUAAAACUAAUAAUAUGUAGUUAAAUGAAAAUCUCUCUGAGAAUAUCGAUCAAAACUGAACAUUACUUUUACAGGUAAUAUCUCUGGCCAAGAUUUACUUUUCUUUCUUUGCUCUUGUUACCUGUUUGUGUGACUGUCAAUGUUCCACUGAUCCUCUUUGGGGCCGAUGAUGAGGUACUGAUGGCCCUGCUUCAGGUCGAGCCCCUGUCUGCAUCCUCCGUGAGACAUGAACAACCUCUUUUGGCCGACCUCAACUCCAGCCUCCACACCUGGACGUAACUCUGGCUGACACUCAGCACCUUCACCUGGAAAACUGAAGCAAGAAGAGCCGUCAUUGUUUUCCCUGCUGCUCAACACGAUGACGCUCAUGAUCCUCAGAGGAUGAACCCCCAGUGUCUUGUGUUACAGCCGCACACAAAGCUCCAGGGGAGUAGUGAAAGAAUUCAGUAGCUGUGAUAGAGCAGGCAUGUUCUCCUACUGUACCUGGGUUGUAAUACUCGUACACAGUGACGGAGGACGGCUGGAGGAGGCCGACUUUGAAGCUCUGCUGCAGCCGGAAGAUCAGCACCUCUGGCUCUUUGUGUGACACCUGACGAGACAAGUGGUGCAGGUGAGUUACCAUCUCCAGAUCUGAGUUUUCUGGGGUGAAGCCAGUGGGCAGACUGAUGUCCAGAACCACCAUCCUAACAUCGCUGGGUCCUAACGCCCUGUGGAAGAAACAGCGAGAGAGCAGCAAAUGUCAAACACACAACCGUCGUUACAUCACCGAUGGAUCAGAACAGUCCAGCGUAUCAUUGUCGUCGUAGCCGUAGUUAUGGAUCACAGCUUUGAUCUCGACCUGUUCGUUCCUCGCCACCGAAUAUGGCAGCUUCAGGUCCACAAAGAAACGCUUCCACGCCCUGAAGUUGUACGGCUGGGCCACACAGAAACCUGUAGAGAUGAGUGAAAGAAAAUCAGCGUAGGCUGUAAAACUCGUCAUCACAAGUUCCCAAAACUGAGAGCCACAGUGUGAUGAGUCCCUCCUCCUACCUGUAUGAGGCGAUGCACUGAUGGCCAGAAUUCCCCACUCUGUGAUGCUGUCAGCAUUCACACUUGUGAAACAUGAACUUGGCAAUAAAUCACAGCAGCGGCGGUGUUCAUACAGGAAUCUACUUCAGCACAGAGGACGAGUGGACGUGCACACACAAAUAUGUGCAGACUUACAGAACAGAAAUGCAAAUCAGUGGUGAAAAGAAUCAACAUUUUUGCUCCUGACUGAGCUGAUUGAUCAGCUGUUAUCACCGACCAAACACAACAUGACGUAAGCCAGGAAAGUCACGGAGCUGUGUGUUUUGUCGCACAUGAUGAAACUGUCCUGUGGAUUUAUCCCUCUGACGUAGUUCACCAACUAUCAGCGACUGGAUUUUCCCAUUUAUUCUAACAGGCAGUGGAUGCGACAGAGUUCUGUAUUAAUGUCCAGGUACUGUUUGAUCGCGGCCUCAUCUUGUACAUCUUGUUACAAACAUGAAAUAUCGUUUAAAUUGCACUUUGCAAGGACAUUUAAAUUCAUGUCUGGAAUGUGAGAAGUCUUCUUUGUUAAAACUGUUUUGCACUGAACAGAAUAGCUCUCCAAAUACUGUUGUAUGUACAAUGACAAUAAAGGCUUUUUAUUUCUUUA